UACGUAGGUGGCAUGCGUUCUCCGGAAUUAUUGGGCGUAAAGCGCGCGCAGGCGGUUUCUUAAGUCUGAUGUGAAAGCCCACGGCUCAACCGUGGAGGGUCAUUGGAAACUGGGGAACUUGAGUGCAGAAGAGAAAAGCGGAAUUCCACGUGUAGCGGUGAAAUGCGUAGAGAUGUGGAGGAACACCAGUGGCGAAGGCGGCUUUUUGGUCUGUAACUGACGCUGAGGAGCGAAAGCGUGGGGAGCGAACAGG
RNAcentral lists this ribosomal RNA (253 nucleotides) under uncultured bacterium. RNAcentral's name for it is "partial 16S ribosomal RNA". It matches the Rfam family "Bacterial small subunit ribosomal RNA", at positions 524 to 776 of the family's 1533-position model. The record is from RNAcentral.